GGUUUAUUGAAAAUAAUUUUAAAUCUAAUCUGCUUAAUGAUUAAUUAAAUAGCUGCAGUAUUUUGACUGUACAAAGGUAGCAAAAUCAAUUGGCUUUUUAUUGAAGUCGGGUAUGAAGGAUUGAACGAGAUAAAAACUGUCUCAAUUUAAUUGGUAGUUGAAUUUUAUUUUAAGUAAGAAUUCUUAAAUGUAGUUAAAAGACGAGAAGACCCUAUAGAAUUUUAUAAUUAGUACAAUAUUAUUAAUUUAUAUAUUUUUGAGAUAUAUUAUUAAUUAUUUAAUUGGGGAUAAUUUAAAAAUUUAAAAAAUUUUUUAAUCAAAAAAAUUAAAAAUUAUUAAUAAUUAAUUAUAUAUAUAUAUAUAUAUAUAUAUUUAAUCAUAGAUCUAUGAUUGUUUUAUUAAAAUCCAUUAUUAAUGAAAUUAAAUAAAAUUACCUUAGGGAUAACAGCGUAAUUUUUUUGGAGAGGAUAUUGAUAAAAAAGGUUGCGACCUCGAUGUUGAAUUAAGUUAAAUAGUUAAUAGAAAGAUUAAUUAAAUUAAGUCUGUUCGACUUUUAAAAACUUACAUGAUUUGAGUUUAAAACGGUGUGAGCCAGUUUGGAUUCUAUCUUUAAUUAAUUAAAAUAGUUUUGUACGAAAGGACUUGCUUUUUUUACAAUUGUAAAAAUUUAUGAAUAUAAAUUAAUAUUAGUGUA
Molecule: ribosomal RNA, 694 nt
Filed under: Ceratosolen solmsi
Lineage: Eukaryota; Metazoa; Arthropoda; Insecta; Hymenoptera; Agaonidae
Description: partial 16S ribosomal RNA
Rfam family: Archaeal large subunit ribosomal RNA (bases 441-598)
Source: RNAcentral